GUUCGUAGGCUGUUUAUUAAGUCUGGGGGUGAAAUCUCCGGGCUCAACCCGGAGCUCGUUCUCAAAACUGGUAGACUUGAGUAAGGUAGAGGCUGACGGAAUUCUGCAAGUAAGGGUAAAAUCCGUUGAUCUGCAGAGGAACACCAAAAGCGAAGGCAGUCAGCUGGGCCUUUACUGACGCUGAGGGACGAAAGCGUGGGUAGCGAACGGGAUUAGAUACCCCGGUAGUCCACGCCGUAAAUGAUGGAUACUGGACAUUGGUACUCGAUCGUAUCAGUGUCUCAAGCUAACGCAUUAAGUAUCCCGCCUGGGGAGUACGGUCGCAAGAUUAAAACUCAAAGGAAUAGACGGGGACCCACACAAGCGGUGGAGCAUGUGGUUUAAUUCGACAAUAAGCGAGGAACCUUACCAGGGCUUGACAUCCCGAGAAUUCUUUAGAAAUAGAGAAGUGCCUUUAUGGAACUCGGUGACAGGUGCUGCAUGGUUGUCGUCAGCUCGUGCCUUGAGGUGUUCGGUUAAGUCCGUAAACGAGCGCAACCCUAGUCCUAUGUUGUAUAUUUCAUAGGAGACUGCCUUGUCCAACGAGGAGGAAGGUUAGGAUGACGUCAAAUCAGCAUGGCCCUUAUGUCCUGGGCGACACACGUGCUACAAUGGUCGGUACAAUGGGUAGCCAACCCGCGAGGGGGAGCCAAUCCCAUCAAAGCCGGUCCAAGUUCGGAUUGGAGGCUGCAACUCGCCUCCAUGA
RNAcentral lists this ribosomal RNA (745 nucleotides) under uncultured Microgenomates group bacterium. Its description in RNAcentral is "bacterial SSU rRNA". It matches the Rfam family "Bacterial small subunit ribosomal RNA", at positions 567 to 1323 of the family's 1533-position model. The record is from RNAcentral.